Molecule: long non-coding RNA, 505 nt
Filed under: Trifolium pratense (red clover)
Lineage: Eukaryota; Viridiplantae; Streptophyta; Magnoliopsida; Fabales; Fabaceae
Description: long non-coding RNA (TPRA_LNC002287)
Source: RNAcentral
AUGUGAGGUCAUUGAUCACACUAUUGUUGAUUGCUCGUCCGUUUUCAAUGUUGACGAUGACACUGACGAUGACAUCCAUGUUGGAAUGUCGGCUUCUAAGCGAUAUCGCAGGUCUUUCAUGAGUAACACAAAUGAUGAUUUUGUUGAAGAAAUUUCUGGUGAAAUUGAUGGAAAUUCAAGUGUUGUCAAAGUGGAAAAGGAUUGAGAAUUGCUUUGUUCAGUAGCGUGUUGCUACUUAAAUAAUUUGAUGUGUUGUUUGAAUAUCUAUGAAUCACUAUAUAAGUGUUUCUGUUUUGUAUUUCAGAUGUGUUUAUUAGGUUGUUCAGGUUUGUUUAUUCAAACCUUAAGUUUUAUUUGUUAGUUGAACGGUUUAUUUUAGAAUAGUGGGUAUUGUGGUUUAAUUUAUGUGUAAUGUCGUCCUCUGUAUUUGCUCUGUUUAACUAUAUCAUAUUAGAUUAAAUGUUUAUGUAUCAAGUGUUUGUAUGAUAUUUUUAGUUGGGUUGAA